UUGUUAUGAUUACGGGUUUUGCUUUUUAACACUAGUUGAAUGGUGGGCGCAGGCGCUAUUGACCAAAGUCAUGCUAGCCAUGUGCAUCUAAUCGAAAGCCAAAUUGACUCGUGCAUUAUAAUACAAACCGAAAACGAUGUCCACUUCCCUAUGAAAUGAAAUAUAUAGUAAUUAGUAAGUGAAUGCCCUACUUCGUAUAGAGUAUAGACGUUAUAUUUUAUAGUUAAAGUAUUUAUAGCUGUUAUAUUGGAUUAAUAGCGUGAAAGCCCAAUACUUUUUAGCCUAAAAAGGGCCAAAUCUAAAUCUGGUGUAAUCAGGCGCCAAAGAGAGGAGCGAGGAGCUACUAGCCAAGUGCAAACACGCCAUCGUCAUCAACCAUCGGAACAUGAUCUGAAUAUCUGGUUUCUUUCAAUUUUAAAAACUUAAAUUCGAUUUAAAACAAAGUAUGAAAUAGUGGCUCUGACCUACCAGUGCAUUGCUUAUUCUUGAUGAAUUUCAGUGAACAUUACACUGUCUUAGUCUUACAACCUUGAAGAUAAUGAAUAAGUUCUUUUUGAUUGUUCAGAGAUCUGUGAAUAAGUUUUUUUUUUAAAAAUAGGCUCUAUUAAUUCAAUUGAACAAUAAAAUAGAAUGAAGAAGCUGAUAAUGGAGAGACGAGUGUAAAAAAUGACUACUCUACUCAAAACAAGUUAAUAGAGUAUAUUGUUUAAACCCAACAAUUAUAAAAAUAAAAUUUCUGUAGUUCUUUUUCUC
This is a long non-coding RNA of Lactuca sativa (garden lettuce), 753 nucleotides long. RefSeq lists it as uncharacterized. Lineage: Eukaryota; Viridiplantae; Streptophyta; Magnoliopsida; Asterales; Asteraceae. The record is from RefSeq and is a predicted model, not a curated record.